UACAGAGGGGGCAAGCGUUGUUCGGAAUUACUGGGCGUAAAGAGCUUGUAGGCGGUUUGUCGCGUCUGCCGUGAAAAUCCGGGGCUCAACCCCGGACUUGCGGUGGGUACGGGCAGACUAGAGUGUGGUAGGGGAGACUGGAAUUCCUGGUGUAGCGGUGAAAUGCGCAGAUAUCAGGAGGAACACCGAUGGCGAAGGCAGGUCUCUGGGCCACUACUGACGCUGAGAAGCGAAAGCGUGGGGAGCAAACAGG
This 253-nucleotide ribosomal RNA is filed under the name uncultured bacterium. RNAcentral describes it as "partial 16S ribosomal RNA". It matches the Rfam family "Bacterial small subunit ribosomal RNA", at positions 524 to 776 of the family's 1533-position model. The record is from RNAcentral.